GGCCGUGUGGCGAAACGGCAUCGCGUCUGACUACGACAGUCUAAAGCGGGUAUCAGGAGAUUGCAGGUCCGACCCCUGGCUCGGUCA
Molecule: transfer RNA, 87 nt
Filed under: Agrocybe pediades
Lineage: Eukaryota; Fungi; Basidiomycota; Agaricomycetes; Agaricales; Agrocybaceae
Description: tRNA-Arg
Rfam family: tRNA
About the family: Transfer RNA (tRNA) molecules are approximately 80 nucleotides in length. Their secondary structure includes four short double-helical elements and three loops (D, anti-codon, and T loops). Further hydrogen bonds mediate the characteristic L-shaped molecular structure. tRNAs have two regions of fundamental functional importance: the anti-codon, which is responsible for specific mRNA codon recognition, and the 3' end, to which the tRNAs corresponding amino acid is attached (by aminoacyl-tRNA synthetases). tRNAs cope with the degeneracy of the genetic code in two manners: having more than one tRNA (with a specific anti-codon) for a particular amino acid; and 'wobble' base-pairing, i.e. permitting non-standard base-pairing at the 3rd anti-codon position.
Source: RNAcentral